GGGGACGUAGUAUAAUGGCUAGAAGUGUCUUUUAUAGGCACUGUCCAAAAUAGGAGCCUCCAGAGCUUCUGAUCCGAGUUCGAAUCUCGGCGUCCCCA
RNAcentral lists this transfer RNA (98 nucleotides) under Candidatus Woesearchaeota archaeon. Its description in RNAcentral is "tRNA-Trp". It matches the Rfam family "tRNA". Rfam says of the family: Transfer RNA (tRNA) molecules are approximately 80 nucleotides in length. Their secondary structure includes four short double-helical elements and three loops (D, anti-codon, and T loops). Further hydrogen bonds mediate the characteristic L-shaped molecular structure. tRNAs have two regions of fundamental functional importance: the anti-codon, which is responsible for specific mRNA codon recognition, and the 3' end, to which the tRNAs corresponding amino acid is attached (by aminoacyl-tRNA synthetases). tRNAs cope with the degeneracy of the genetic code in two manners: having more than one tRNA (with a specific anti-codon) for a particular amino acid; and 'wobble' base-pairing, i.e. permitting non-standard base-pairing at the 3rd anti-codon position. Lineage: Archaea; Nanobdellati; Candidatus Woesearchaeota. The record is from RNAcentral.